GAUGAACGCUGGCGGCGUGCUUAACACAUGCAAGUCGAACGGAAAGGCCCAAGCUUGCUUGGGUACUCGAGUGGCGAACGGGUGAGUAACACGUGGGUGAUCUGCCCUGCACUUCGGGAUAAGCCUGGAAACUGGGUCUAAUACCGGAUAGGACCACAUUUUGGAUGGUGUGGUGGAAAGUUUUUCGGUGUGGGAUGAGCUCGCGGCCUAUCAGCUUGUUGGUGGGGUAAUGGCCUACCAAGGCGUCGACGGGUAGCCGGCCUGAGAGGGUGUACGGCCACAUUGGGACUGAGAUACGGCCCAGACUCCUACGGGAGGCAGCAGUGGGGAAUAUUGCACAAUGGGCGCAAGCCUGAUGCAGCGACGCCGCGUGGGGGAUGACGGCCUCCGGGUUGUAAACUCCUUUCGCUAGGGACGAAGCGUUAUGUGACGGUACCUGGAGAAGAAGCACCGGCUAACUACGUG
Molecule: ribosomal RNA, 465 nt
Filed under: uncultured bacterium
Lineage: Bacteria
Description: partial 16S ribosomal RNA
Rfam family: Bacterial small subunit ribosomal RNA
Source: RNAcentral